RNAcentral lists this ribosomal RNA (757 nucleotides) under uncultured bacterium. RNAcentral's name for it is "bacterial SSU rRNA". It matches the Rfam family "Bacterial small subunit ribosomal RNA", at positions 565 to 1334 of the family's 1533-position model. The record is from RNAcentral.
GAGUUGCGUAGGUGGUUAGUAAAGCGAAUAGUGAAACCUGGUGGCUCAACCAUACAGACUAUUAUUCGAACUCACUAACUCGAGAGUGGUAGAGGUAACUGGAAUUUCUUGUGUAGGAGUGAAAUCCGUAGAUAUAAGAAGGAACACCAAUGGCGUAGGCAGGUUACUGGACCAUUUCUGACACUGAGGCACGAAAGCGUGGGGAGCGAACCGGAUUAGAUACCCGGGUAGUCCACGCCGUAAACGAUGGAUACUAGCUGUUGGAGGUAUCGACCCCUUCAGUAGCGAAGCUAACGCGUUAAGUAUCCCGCCUGUGGAGUACGGUCGCAAGACUAAAACAUAAAGGAAUUGACGGGGAUCAGCACAAGCGGUGGAUCGUGUUCUUUAAUUCGAUGAUAAACGAAGAACCUUACCAGGGCUUGACAUCCAGGGAAGCACUGCGAAAGCAGAGUGUGCCUUUUGGAACCCUGUGACAGGUGUUGCAUGGCCGUCGUCAGCUCGUGUCGUGAGAUGUUUGGUUAAGUCCAUCAACGAGCGCAACCCUUGUGAAUAGUUGUAUUUUUCUAUUCAGACUGCUCUAGUAAUAGGGAGGAAGGAGGGGAUGAUGUCAGGUCAGUAUUACCCUUACGUCCUGGGCUAGAAACACGAUACAAUGGCCGGUACAAUGCGCAGCGAAGCAGCAAUGUGGAGCAAAUCGCAUCAAAGCCGGUCCCAGUUCGGAUAAGAGGCUGAAACUCGCCUCUUGAAGCCGGAAUCG